Molecule: unclassified non-coding RNA, 403 nt
Filed under: soil metagenome
Description: partial contains 5.8S ribosomal RNA, internal transcribed spacer 2, and large subunit ribosomal RNA
Rfam family: 5.8S ribosomal RNA (bases 1-122)
Source: RNAcentral
GAUGAAGAACGUAGCAAAAUGCGAUACUUGGUGUGAAUUGCAGAAUCCCGUGAACCAUCGAGUUUUUGAACGCAAGUUGCGCCCGAAGCCUUUUGGCCGAGGGCACGUCUGCCUGGGCGUCACGCAUCGCGUCGCCCCCCACAAUUCUCCGUAAAGGGAACGUAUGUUUUGGGGGCGGAUAUUGGUCUCCCGUGCUCAUGGCGUGGUUGGCCGAAAUAGGAGUCCUUUCGAUGGACGCACGAACUAGUGGUGGUCGUAAAAACCCUCGUCUUUUGUUUCGUGCUGUUGCUCGCAAGGUAAACUCUUUAAAAACCCCAAUGUGUCGUCUCUUGACGACGCUUCGACCGCGACCCCAGGUCAGGCGGGACUACCCGCUGAGUUUAAGCAUAUCAAUAGCGGAGGA